GCUGAGAACAAGCCUACUGAUAGAAGAAGUAUUUGUAUUCAAAAUAUAGACUAAAUCCCUGUGUUCUCUAAGUAGCUGGCUAGUUGGUAUUUGUUUCAAAAAAAGGUUUUGCUCUUGGGAGCUGAAUUUGACUCUGGCAGCUGGCAGAUCUCUGUCUCUUUCUCUUUUUUUCCUAGAGUGAAAGCUGUAUGGACCUGAAGUUUUUUUCCUAUCCAAAUGACUUUAUGUUUGAAGACUUCAAUUUUUCAGUGACCUCAUCAUUGCCUAUGGAUUCAAUCUUUAUGGAUCAUCUUUAUGGCACUAGUGGAAAUUAAUAUGUGAGAAAUAUAGAAUAAUGACACAAGGAAUGGUUACUGAGUUUAAGUUAAACAGAGUCUCUGAGGAUCUGAUCACUAUGUAGUUAAUAGCUCAGAUGCCCAGUCUGGUCUCUUUACUUGAACAACUAACUCUUCCAUGUAUCUGAAGAAAGACAAGAUUGAUACAAAUCUACUUCAUUGCAGAUCCCUUGUGGAUGGGUUCCAUAGAACAAUGGUCUUUGAGAUGAAGUCUUUAAAACUCCUGGAGGAUUCCCUACAAUUUUCUCUAAGCCAUCUGUGUGGGUGUGUGGAAAUGUGGAAGGAAAGAAGGAACGAAGGAAGAAAAAAAGGGAAGGGGUAUGUGAAGAAGGAAAUAAUGAAGGAGGAAGAAACAACAACAAAUAGAAAAAUAUUGCCAGACUCUGUCUUCUAAAGUGAAAACUUCAUAAGCUAUGAAACCAAUUUGGACUCAUAUUCAUGGGCAAAGAUGGACACAGACUAUUGAAGGUGUUCUUAGGGAACAUAUUCUGAGAGUGGCCUUCUGGAGACAAUUACUAUCAUUAUUUUUAGACCAGAUAGAAGAUGAAAGUGAUUUUACUGGUAUGCCUUUGGGGACAAGUGAGGAUCUGUAGACUUCUACCUAUUUUGGCUGUGCAAAUGAUUGACUCCAUUGCACCCCCAACCAUCAAUAAAGUUUUGCCAAAUGAGAUAUGCUUUCCA
This 1016-nucleotide long non-coding RNA is filed under the name Monodelphis domestica (gray short-tailed opossum). Its description in RNAcentral is "lncRNA (ENSMODG00000033045.2)". Lineage: Eukaryota; Metazoa; Chordata; Mammalia; Didelphimorphia; Didelphidae. The record is from RNAcentral.